UACAGAGGGGGCAAGCGUUGUUCGGAAUUACUGGGCGUAAAGGGCGCGUAGGCGGCCCGCUAAGUCGGAUGUGAAAUCCCCCGGCUCAACCGGGGAAGUGCAUCCGAAACUGGCGGGCUAGAGUACGAGAGGGUCGCGGAAUUCCCGGUGUAGAGGUGAAAUUCGUAGAUAUCGGGAGGAACACCGGUGGCGAAGGCGGCGACCUGGGUCGAUACUGACGCUGAGGUGCGAAAGCGUGGGGAGCAAACGGG
Molecule: ribosomal RNA, 251 nt
Filed under: uncultured bacterium
Lineage: Bacteria
Description: partial 16S ribosomal RNA
Rfam family: Bacterial small subunit ribosomal RNA
Source: RNAcentral